UACGGAGGGAGCUAGCGUUGCUCGGAAUCACUGGGCGUAAAGCGCACGUAGGCGGACUCUUAAGUCGGUGGUGAAAUCCUGGAGCUCAACUCCAGAACUGCCUUCGAUACUGGGAGUCUCGAGUUCGGGAGAGGUGAGUGGAACUGCGAGUGUAGAGGUGAAAUUCGUAGAUAUUCGGAAGAACACCAGUGGCGAAGGCGGCUCGCUGGACAAGUAUUGACGCUGAGGUGGCGAAAAGCGUGGGGAGCAAACAGG
This 255-nucleotide ribosomal RNA is filed under the name uncultured bacterium. RNAcentral's name for it is "partial 16S ribosomal RNA". It matches the Rfam family "Bacterial small subunit ribosomal RNA", at positions 524 to 776 of the family's 1533-position model. The record is from RNAcentral.